UGGGCGUUAAGUUGCAGGGUAUAGACCCGAAACCCGGUGAUCUAGCCAUGGGCAGGUUGAAGGUUGGGUAACACUAACUGGAGGACCGAACCGACUAAUGUUGAAAAAUUAGCGGAUGACCUGUGGCUGGGGGUGAAAGGCCAAUCAAACCGGGAGAUAGCUGGUUCUCCCCGAAAGCUAUUUAGGUAGCGCCUCGUGAAUUCAUCUCCGGGGGUAGAGCACUGUUUCGGCUAGGGGGCCAUCCCGGCUUACCAACCCGAUGCAAACUGCGAAUACCGGAGAAUGUUAUCACGGGAGACACACGGCGGGUGCUAACGUCCGUCGUGAAGAGGGAAACAACCCAGACCGCCAGCUAAGGUCCCAAAGUCAUGGUUAAGUGGGAAACGAUGUGGGAAGGCCCAGACAGCCAGGAUGUUGGCUUAGAAGCAGCCAUCAUUUAAAGAAAGCGUAAUAGCUCACUGGUCGAGUCGGCCUGCGCGGAAGAUGUAACGGGGCUAAACCAUGCACCGAAGCUGCGGCAGCGAACGUAUCACCCAAGACAACUUUACGGAGUUGACGAUUGACGGAGCGAAGCGACGUCAAAGCGUUCAUUAAAGUCGAGUUGGCUUAGGGAUACGUUCGUUGGGUAGGGGAGCGUUCUGUAAGCCUGUGAAGGUGUGUCGUGAGGCAUGCUGGAGGUAUCAGAAGUGCGAAUGCUGACAUAAGUAACGAUAAAGCGGGUGAAAAGCCCGCUCGCCGGAAGACCAAGGGUUCCUGUCCAACGUUAAUCGGGGCAGGGUGAGUCGACCCCUAAGGCGAGGCCGAAAGGCGUAGUCGAUGGGAAACGGGUUAAUAUUCCCGUACUUGGUGUUACUGCGAAGGGGGGACGGAGAAGGCUAUGUUGGCCGGGCGACGGUUGUCCCGGUUUAAGCGUGUAGGUGUGUGUUCCAGGUAAAUCCGGUUCACUUUAACACUGAGGCGUGAUGACGAGGCACUACGGUGCUGAAGCAACAAAUGCCCUGCUUCCAGGAAAAGCCUCUAAGCAUCAGGUAACAUCAAAUCGUACCCCAAACCGA
This 1055-nucleotide ribosomal RNA is filed under the name Salmonella enterica subsp. enterica serovar Typhimurium. Its description in RNAcentral is "partial 23S ribosomal RNA". It matches the Rfam family "Bacterial large subunit ribosomal RNA", at positions 689 to 1657 of the family's 2925-position model. Lineage: Bacteria; Pseudomonadati; Pseudomonadota; Gammaproteobacteria; Enterobacterales; Enterobacteriaceae. The record is from RNAcentral.